GCCGACGGAGUCAGGAUUCCCAUCCCUUUGCUAGGCCCUUUGCCCGGUGUGGUGGGCGCCGUCGCCAUGUCCUGAAGACAGACACAAACACAUGGGCAUGGUGGAUAUCGUGGUGGCUCUAGAAGGAAGUACUUACGCUCCACAUCUGAGGGUCCCAGGCAUGGAACCAUCCGGUGAAGGUCGGGGGCUCGAAGCCCUGUUUGAUCAGGACGAUGGGCGUGUCGACGUCACGGCCGGCCGGGUGCGAACGCAGAUAUUCCUGGGCCGUCGUCACGGCAGCGUCCCUCUCGACGGGAUUGGCCCCCCUCCCCAUCCACAGGCACACCUGUAAAGAGACAACCAGCGUCCAAAUCAAGAAUUUCACGUUGGACAUAAAUUGCUGAAACGUCAAUUAACCUCCUCAUCGACUUAAAUUACUGUUCCAAUACAAGAAUAACAUAAAUACAAUUAUAAUGUAAAACCGACCUUCAAACAGAGAAAUGUAAAAAAUAACGAGUUAUUAACAAUCAAAAUGAAAGGGGUCCCCUAGUCACCAUGUCCCAUAUAUCGAGGAGCAUGAUGUCGUCCUCGUCCAGGUCUUCCUGGUCGAAGUUUGUAAUCUCGGUGGCCAGGAAGCGGCCCGUCUGGUUGGAGCACUCGAAGAGCCGCGGGGUGACGCUGUUCAGGCCGUCCUGGAGUCUGUGGAGGCGCAGGCGGAGUAAAGCCCGGUCAGGAACCAUCGCAACAAACACUCUCUCUCUGGUGGCUCAUUUUCAAAGAGUCGAAGCGAAGCGAGAUCCCGGACAGUAUGAAUGAGUGGAAACCGGCACUGGUUUGAUAUUGGCCAAAGUUUGGUUUCCUUUUUGGCUGUUUCAAUCACUGAGGUUGGGAUGGAUAUAUUACACUUCCUUCUCUUUUAAAUUUGUUUUAUAUAUAUAUAUAUAUAUAUAUACAAAUAUUAUACAUUGUCAAGAUUCAGUUACAUUAUCGAUAUUAUAGGUCAAAUGAACAUGGAAGAGCUCUCAAUGUGUCAUCAUGUGUAUCGGCGUUCCCUCCUGGCGUCCUAUAGUUCCCCGCCCGUGCAUCGGCCCCCGGUGGGUCGGGUACCUCUUGCUGUUGGCGUACUGCGUUUUGCCGCCCAGGCUGACCCAGAAGAGGUCGGGCUCUUGGCCCUCGGCGAUGACAAGCUUCUCUCUUCUGGAGAUAAUGUCGGCCAGGGAUUUACCCAUCAGCCGCUCAUCACCACUGCAGCCCUGAGAGCGACACCAUCAGGCAGUUAUCACUCGGACGGGCAAUCAUUUCGUCUCUGUUAUCACGUCGACUAGGACAGGCACCUUUUCCGUCUCAGUUAUCACACCAACUCAGACAGGCACUUAUGCAGCCUCUCUCUUUGAAUACAGCUCCCAUUGACUUA
Molecule: long non-coding RNA, 1393 nt
Organism: Gadus morhua (Atlantic cod)
Lineage: Eukaryota; Metazoa; Chordata; Actinopteri; Gadiformes; Gadidae
Exons: 2
Source: RefSeq, a predicted model, not a curated record